Long non-coding RNA from Ornithodoros turicata, 162 nucleotides. RefSeq lists it as uncharacterized. The transcript has 3 exons. NCBI's taxonomy places the organism in Eukaryota, Metazoa, Arthropoda, Arachnida, Ixodida, Argasidae. The record is from RefSeq and is a predicted model, not a curated record.
UUUCAAUUGUCUCAGGCUUUCAGCGUUCGCUCGUCAAUUACAGAACAAAGGAGGAUAUGAUUUUGCGUCGUAAGAGGUUUUUGCUGUUCGUUUCGAGCAGCGGCUGCGGUCUUGCGUCCCGUCAGGCCAUGAAAGAACAAAGGAGGAUAUCAUUUUGCGUCG